This 250-nucleotide long non-coding RNA is filed under the name Hordeum vulgare. RNAcentral's name for it is "long non-coding RNA (HVUL_LNC009751)". The record is from RNAcentral. Lineage: Eukaryota; Viridiplantae; Streptophyta; Magnoliopsida; Poales; Poaceae.
UGUCGUUGUCAUCGUUGUUGUUGUUUUUGUUGUUGUUGUUGUUGUUGUCGUUGUCGUUGUCGUCGUCGUCGUCGUCGUUGUUGUUAUUGUUGUUGUUGUUGUUGUUGUUGUUUUUGUUGUUGUUGUUGUUGUUGAUGUUGAUGUUGUUGUUGUUGUCGAUGAUGAUGAUGAUGUUGCUAUUUUUGUUUUUCUUGUUGUUAUUGUUGUUGUUGUUUUGUUGUUCUUGCUCCUGUUGUUGUUGUUGUUGUUG